GGUUAAGCGACUAAGCGUACACGGUGGAUGCCCGCAGUCAGAGGCGAUGAAGGACGUGCUAAUCUGCGAAAAGCGUCGGUAAGGUGAUAUGAACCGUUAUAACCGGCGAUGUCCGAAUGGGGAAACCCAGUGUGAUUCGUCACACUAUCGUUAACUGAAUACAUAGGUUAACGAGGCGAACCGGGGAACUGAAACAUCUAAGUACCCCGAGGAAAAGAAAUCAACCGAGAUUCCCCCAGUAGCGGCGAGCGAACGGGGAGCAGCCCAGAGUCUGAAUCAGCUUGUGUGUUAGUGGAACGGUCUGGAAAGUCCGACGGUACAGGGUGAUAGUCCCGUACACCAAAAUGCACAGGUUGUGAACUCGAAGAGUAGGGCGGGACACGUGGUAUCCUGUCUGAAUAUGGGGGACCAUCCUCCAAGGCUAAAUACUCCUGACUGACCGAUAGUGAACCAGUACCGUGAGGGAAAGGCGAAAAGAACCCCGGCGAGGGGUGAAAAAGAACCUGAAACCGUGUACGUACAAGCAGUGGGAGCACCUUCGGGUGUGACUGCGUACCUUUUGUAUAAUGGGUCAGCGACUUAUAUUCUGUAGCAAGGUUAACCGUAUAGGGGAGCCGCAGGGAAACCGAGUCUUAACUGGGCGUUAAGUUGCAGGGUAUAGACCCGAAACCCGGUGAUCUAGCCAUGGGCAGGUUGAAGGUUGGGUAACACUAACUGGAGGACCGAACCGACUAAUGUUGAAAAAUUAGCGGAUGACUUGUGGCUGGGGUGAAAGGCCAAUCAAACCGGGAGAUAGCUGGUUCUCCCCGAAAGCUAUUUAGGUAGCGCCUCGUGAACUCAUCUUCGGGGGUAGAGCACUGUUUCGGCUAGGGGUCAUCCCGACUUACCAACCCGAUGCAAACUACGAAUACCGAAGAAUGUUAUCACGGGAGACACACGGCGGGUGCUAACGUCCGUCGUGAAGAGGGAAACAACCCAGACCGCCAGCUAAGGUCCCAAAGUCAUGGUUAAGUGGGAAACGAUGUGGGAAGGCACAGACAGCCAGGAUGUUGGCUUAGAAGCAGCCAUCAUUUAAAGAAAGCGUAAUAGCUCACUGGUCGAGUCGGCCUGCGCGGAAGAUGUAACGGGGCUAAACCAUGCACCGAAGCUGCGGCAGCGACACUAUGUGUUGUUGGGUAGGGGAGCGUUCUGUAAGCCUGCGAAGGUGACCUGUGAGGGUUGCUGGAGGUAUCAGAAGUGCGAAUGCUGACAUAAGUAACGAUAAAGCGGGUGAAAAGCCCGCUCGCCGGAAGACCAAGGGUUCCUGUCCAACGUUAAUCGGGGCAGGGUGAGUCGACCCUAAGGCGAGGCCGAAAGGCGUAGUCGAUGGGAAACAGGUUAAUAUUCCUGUACUUGGUGUUACUGCGAAGGGGGACGGAGAAGGCUAUGUUAGCCGGGCGACGGUUGUCCCGGUUUAAGCAUGUAGGCUGAUUGUCCAGGCAAAUCCGGAUAAUCAAGGCUGAGGUGUGAUGACGAGGCACUACGGUGCUGAAGUAACAAAUGCCCUGCUUCCAGGAAAAGCCUCUAAGCAUCAGGUAACAUCAAAUCGUACCCCAAACCGACACAGGUGGUCAGGUAGAGAAUACCAAGGCGCUUGAGAGAACUCGGGUGAAGGAACUAGGCAAAAUGGUGCCGUAACUUCGGGAGAAGGCACGCUGGUGUGUAGGUGAAGUCCCUGCGGAUGGAGCUGAGACCAGUCGAAGAUACCAGCUGGCUGCAACUGUUUAUUAAAAACACAGCACUGUGCAAACACGAAAGUGGACGUAUACGGUGUGACGCCUGCCCGGUGCCGGAAGGUUAAUUGAUGGGGUUAUCCGUAAGGAGAAGCUCUUGAUCGAAGCCCCGGUAAACGGCGGCCGUAACUAUAACGGUCCUAAGGUAGCGAAAUUCCUUGUCGGGUAAGUUCCGACCUGCACGAAUGGCGUAAUGAUGGCCAGGCUGUCUCCACCCGAGACUCAGUGAAAUUGAACUCGCUGUGAAGAUGCAGUGUACCCGCGGCAAGACGGAAAGACCCCGUGAACCUUUACUAUAGCUUGACACUGAACAUUGAGCCUUGAUGUGUAGGAUAGGUGGGAGGCUUUGAAGCGUGGACGCCAGUCUGCGUGGAGCCAACCUUGAAAUACCACCCUUUAAUGUUUGAUGUUCUAACGUUGGCCCCUUACCGGGGUUGCGGACAGUGUCUGGUGGGUAGUUUGACUGGGGCGGUCUCCUCCCAAAGCGUAACGGAGGAGCACGAAGGUUAGCUAAUCCUGGUCGGACAUCAGGAGGUUAGUGCAAUGGCAUAAGCUAGCUUGACUGCGAGCGUGACGGCGCGAGCAGGUGCGAAAGCAGGUCAUAGUGAUCCGGUGGUUCUGAAUGGAAGGGCCAUCGCUCAACGGAUAAAAGGUACUCCGGGGAUAACAGGCUGAUACCGCCCAAGAGUUCAUAUCGACGGCGGUGUUUGGCACCUCGAUGUCGGCUCAUCACAUCCUGGGGCUGAAGUAGGUCCCAAGGGUAUGGCUGUUCGCCAUUUAAAGUGGUACGCGAGCUGGGUUUAGAACGUCGUGAGACAGUUCGGUCCCUAUCUGCCGUGGGCGCUGGAGAAUUGAGGGGGCUGCUCCUAGUACGAGAGGACCGGAGUGGACGCAUCACUGGUGUUCGGGUUGUCAUGCCAAUGGCACUGCCCGGUAGCUAAAUGCGGAAGAGAUAAGUGCUGAAAGCAUCUAAGCACGAAACUUGCCCCGAGAUGAGUUCUCCCUGAGACUUUAAGUCUCCUGAAGGAACGUUGAAGACGACGACGUUGAUAGGCCGGGUGUGUAAGCGCAGCGAUGCGUUGAGCUAACCGGUACUAAUGAACCGUGAGGCUUAACCUU
Molecule: ribosomal RNA, 2891 nt
Filed under: Klebsiella pneumoniae
Lineage: Bacteria; Pseudomonadati; Pseudomonadota; Gammaproteobacteria; Enterobacterales; Enterobacteriaceae
Description: 23S ribosomal RNA
Rfam family: Bacterial large subunit ribosomal RNA
Source: RNAcentral